Molecule: long non-coding RNA, 725 nt
Organism: Pezoporus flaviventris
Lineage: Eukaryota; Metazoa; Chordata; Aves; Psittaciformes; Psittacidae
Exons: 3
Source: RefSeq, a predicted model, not a curated record
AGGGAUGGGAUACCUUGCAGAGGGAUCUAGAUAGACUGGAGAAUUGGGCUAUGACUAAUGGGCUAAAACAAGUCAAACUGAUGGAUUCUGCUGCUAGGACGGAGUAAUGCCUGGCAUAAGCAUAAACUGGGAGAGGAACUGGACAUUAGGAAAUAUUUCUUUACUGAUAAGGUGGUAAACACUGUAAUAACCUUCCCAGAGAGCUGUUCGAUGCCCCAAACCUGGCAGUGCUUUAAAAGGCAUUUGGACAAUGGUUUCAAUGACAUGCUUAAACUAUUGGGCAACCCUGAAUUCGUUAGGCAGUUGGACUAGAUAAUUGUUGUAGGUCCCUUCAAACUGAAAUUAGUCUAUGCUAUUCUGUUCUAAUUAAUCAAUGUUAUUACCUACCAUUACCUAUGAAAAUCUAGAGGUAUCUAUCACGUAAUAAAAGAAUCUAGCUAGUCUUUUCUUUGACAGUGCAGCAAUACUGUUUUCACACUUAAAAAGACAGAGUGGUAAUGAAUCCCUUUGAUCUUUUGGAGCCUCUGUUAUCCAAGUCUAUUAGUAAGUUCCCCUACUAGGUUUUGAGUCUAAAACAGAGAGAAAAAAUACAUCAGCUGGUGCAACUUGCAUUAGAUUAUUAGUUUGCCAAGAGUCUUCAUUAAACACGAGUACGAUGUAUUUGCAUUUCUUCUACAUGCAUCUACUAUGCAUUUAACACAUAUAACAUUCACAAGCAGAAAAUU